This 256-nucleotide long non-coding RNA is filed under the name Cicer arietinum (chickpea). Its description in RNAcentral is "long non-coding RNA (CARI_LNC001158)". The record is from RNAcentral. Lineage: Eukaryota; Viridiplantae; Streptophyta; Magnoliopsida; Fabales; Fabaceae.
UUUGCCCUGGACUAGCUCAAGAUACGUGGUGCUUUCUAAUUGGACCAACCAAAAAGCAGAGAAAUUUUAGAAAUGAGGAAUUCACUAAACUUGUUUGGCCCAAAUUCGCAGCAAUCAGACCCCGCUUCCCCAAUCAUUAUGCCUUUUUCUUUCUGACACUACGGUUCUAGUUCAAGCGAGCUUUUGAGACGUCGAGGUUCUGUUUGGUUUUUUUAGAGGCAUUUAUGGUUUUCUUCGAAAGUUGUCGAGGUAAGGC